Molecule: long non-coding RNA, 304 nt
Organism: Homo sapiens (human)
Lineage: Eukaryota; Metazoa; Chordata; Mammalia; Primates; Hominidae
Source: Ensembl
UUUUCCUGCCCAGACUCUGACCAAAAUAAUCUCCAGCCCAACUGCUAACCCUUCUUCAGGUUUUCUGCUUCAGAAGCUCUCUUAGAAUGAAGACACAACGCCACACAUCUGAACAGGAAUCUGCAAGCUGGCCUUCACCCACACCUGCUCCUGCUGCCCCUGGGUUUCCCCAUCUCAGUGAAGGUACCCCAGUUCUGCAAGGUGGAAAGCUGAUGCUGUCUUUGAUUCCUCCUCCUCCUCACCCCCACCUCAUCAAAACCUGCCCACGCUAUGUCUAAAAUAUAUCUCACGUCUGUCCUCUUCC